UGAUAUUAGAUAAAGUUAUAG
RNAcentral lists this non-coding RNA (21 nucleotides) under Caenorhabditis elegans. The record is from RNAcentral. Lineage: Eukaryota; Metazoa; Nematoda; Chromadorea; Rhabditida; Rhabditidae.